GAUUAACGCUGGCGGCGUGCCUAACACAUGCAAGUCGAACGAGGUAGCAAUACCUAGUGGCAGACGGGUGAGUAACGCGUGGUCAACCUACCGUUGAGUGGGGGAUAACUAGCCGAAAGGUUAGCUAAUACCGCAUACGUCUCCGAGGGGCAUCCCUUGGCGAUAAAAGGAGCAAUCCGCUCGAUGACGGGACCGCGUCCCAUUAGCUAGAUGGUGGGGUAACGCCUACCAUGGCACCGAGGGUAGCUGGUUUGAGAGAGCGACCAGCCACACUGGGACUGAGAAACGGCCCAGACUCCUACGGGAGGCAGCAGUGAGGAAUUUUCCGCAAUGGGCGCAAGUCCUGACGGAGCGACGCCGCGUGUGGGAAGAAGGCCUUC
RNAcentral lists this ribosomal RNA (380 nucleotides) under uncultured bacterium. RNAcentral describes it as "bacterial SSU rRNA". It matches the Rfam family "Bacterial small subunit ribosomal RNA", at positions 28 to 419 of the family's 1533-position model. The record is from RNAcentral.